RNAcentral lists this unclassified non-coding RNA (21 nucleotides) under Chlamydomonas reinhardtii. RNAcentral's name for it is "small RNA Cre_0222". The record is from RNAcentral. Lineage: Eukaryota; Viridiplantae; Chlorophyta; Chlorophyceae; Chlamydomonadales; Chlamydomonadaceae.
ACAUGCAUAAGGACUCCUAUG